AAAAAAAUAAAAUCAUUAAGAGACAGAAACGAAAAAAGGUCCGUUUUUUUCAUUUCCUGAGACCGGAAGUGGUCAUCAGCAAGUGUGGAGCCAAACGACAACAAAUUUCUCAGAGGGCGGAGCCAGAGAGCAGCGAUUGGUCAGCCCAUAGUUUAUAUAGAAGACAGCGCGCUAGCGUAUCGAGUCUAUGUGUCGGCAUGUCUGGUAGCAUCUCUGGCUGCUGUUGACCUUGUUUUUGGAGUAAAACACGGUGGAAGCUGAAUUAGUGAGGAUGACUCCUGCUCCUGUCAUCUCUAAGCUCCUCACACAUCUUUACCUGCACAUGAGGAAAAUCACUCCUGUAGAAUGCAGAUGUUCAGAGGGAGAUGAUGCCACAUCUGGUCCAGCUGAUGGAAGGUCUUGAAGUUCUCUGACUGGCCUCGACUGAAGAUGGUCGUCUCACUGGAUUUAAGAUGCACAAUGAGGGACGUCUGCAGCGACUGAGAAAGAGUCUCACCACAUCCUGACAUGAGGAAAAAGACUUUACUGAAGACUACAAUGAGGAAAACUAUCAGACAGCAGAUGGCUGCAUUCAAGGCUACAGGAGGAGCCCUACGAGGACGAGCCGGUCCACCUGAUGGCGGCCAGUCGCUGCGGUUCAAAGCCAACACCGACUACGUGGACUUCUACUGGACCACACGGAGGCCUUCAAACCGGACCAACAAGUUCAGCGACUCCCCGACUCGUGGGUCUGAGGACGCCGCCGAGCCUCGGCCCAGCCGGCCUCCUGUCUGUGGGUGUUUGAGUGCUGAGAGGUUUGUGGAUGCAUGUGAACAUGUCUGUGUUGAAACAGCAGCUUUGGACUCAGUAACGCCGGGAAAAACCAAGAGCUCCUUUAUUUGUGACUUCCACUAAAAAAACCUGAUGAAAAUAAGUUUGCCAGGGUUCUGACUGAUAACAGGUUAUUAAAUAAUGAAAAUAAUCGUUUAAAUAUUACUUUAAACAAUCCUUUUAGGUCUACAUUUCCUUUACACUGUCUUCUUGGUAUAUGUACAAGUAUUUUGGGU
This is a long non-coding RNA of Amphiprion ocellaris (clown anemonefish), 1046 nucleotides long. The record is from Ensembl. NCBI's taxonomy places the organism in Eukaryota, Metazoa, Chordata, Actinopteri, Pomacentridae.